RNAcentral lists this ribosomal RNA (1212 nucleotides) under Xanthomonas citri pv. citri. RNAcentral describes it as "partial 23S ribosomal RNA". It matches the Rfam family "Bacterial large subunit ribosomal RNA", at positions 206 to 1387 of the family's 2925-position model. The record is from RNAcentral. Lineage: Bacteria; Pseudomonadati; Pseudomonadota; Gammaproteobacteria; Lysobacterales; Lysobacteraceae.
GUACCCGUAGGAAGAGAAAACAAGUGUGAUUCCGUGAGUAGUGGCGAGCGAAAGCGGAGGAGGCUAAACCGUGUGUGUGUUCAAGCCGGCAGGUGUUGCAUGUGCGGGGUUGUGGGGGCCUUGUGGUUCUGCUGCCGCAGGAUUGGCCAGUGAGAAAUGUUGCGUGAAGGUGAAGCGUCUGGGAAGGCGUACCGGAGUGGGUGAGAGUCCUGUAACUGUAAGCGUGGCACUGGUGUGGGGUUGCCCCGAGUAGCGUGGGACUCGUGGAAUUUCGCGUGAAUCUGGCGGGACCACCCGUCAAGCCUAAAUACUCCUUGGUGACCGAUAGUGGAUGAGUACCGUGAGGGAAGGGUGAAAAGUACCCCGGGAGGGGAGUGAAAGAGUUCCUGAAACCGGUCGCAUGCAAGCCGUCAGAGCCUGUGUGGUGAUGGCGUGCCUUUUGAAGAAUGAGCCUGCGAGUUAGUGAUGCGUGGCGAGGUUAACCCGUGGUGGGGGAGUCGUAGCGAAAGCGAGUCCGAUAAGGGCGUGAGUCGCGUGUUCUAGACCCGAAGCGGUGUGAUCUAUCCAUGGCCAGGAUGAAGCGUCGGUAAGACGUCGUGGAGGUCCGAACCCACUUCAGUUGAAAAUGGAGGGGAUGAGUUGUGGAUAGGGGUGAAAGGCCAAUCAAACACCGUGAUAGCUGGUUCUCCCCGAAAUGCAUUUAGGUGCAGCGUUGCGUGGUUCUUGUUGGAGGUAGAGCACUGGAUGGUCUAGGGGGCUUAUCGGCUUACCGAAAUCAGCCAAACUCCGAAUGCUGGCAAGUGUAGCGUGGCAGUGAGACGGCGGGGGAUAAGCUUCGUCGUCGAGAGGGAAACAGCCCAGAUCAUCAGCUAAGGCCCCUAAGUGGUGACUCAGUGGGAAAGGAUGUGGAGUUGCGUAGACAACCAGGAGGUUGGCUUGGAAGCAGCCAUCCUUGAAAGAGUGCGUAAUAGCUCACUGGUCAAGUGAUUCCGCGCCGAUAAUGUAGCGGGGCUUAAGUUAUCCGCCGAAGCUGUGGCAACCUGUGUGGUUGGGUAGGGGAGCGUCGUGUCAGUGGUGAAGCUGCCGGGUGACUGUGUGGUGGAGUUGAUGCGAGUGAGAAUGCAGGCAUGAGUAGCGUGUGACGGGUGGGAAUCCCGUCCGCCGAUUAUCCAAGGGUUCCAGGGUCAAGUUUGUCUGCCCUGGGUGAGUCGG